CCCGAAACCAGGCGAUCUAUCCAUGAGCAGGUUGAAGGUUGGGUAACACUAACUGGAGGACCGAACCCACUGUCGUUGAAAAGCCAGGGGAUGACUUGUGGAUAGGGGUGAAAGGCUAAUCAAGCCUGGUGAUAGCUGGUUCUCCCCGAAAGCUAUUUAGGUAGCGCCUCGGACGAAUACCAUAGGGGGUAGAGCACUGUUUCGGCUAGGGGGUCAUCCCGACUUACCAAACCGAUGCAAACUCCGAAUACCUAUGAGUACUAUCCGGGAGACAGACUGCGGGUGCUAACGUCCGUAGUCAAGAGGAAAACAAUCCAGACCGCCAGCUAAGGCCCCAAAAUCAUAGUUAAGUGGGAAACGAUGUGGGAAGGCAUAGACAGCUAGGAGGUUGGCUUAGAAGCAGCCACCCUUUAAAGAAAGCGUAAUAGCUCACUAGUCGAGUCGGCCUGCGCGGAAGAUGUAACGGGGCUAAAACUAUGUGCCGAAGCUGCGGAUUUGACAUUAGUCAAGUGGUAGGGGAGCGUUCUGUAAGCCGAUGAAGGUGUAUUGAGAAGUAUGCUGGAGGUAUCAGAAGUGCGAAUGCUGACGUGAGUAACGACAAAACGGGUGAAAAACCCGUUCGCCGAAAGACCAAGGGUUCCAGUCCAACGUUAAUCGGGGCUGGGUGAGUCGACCCCUAAGGCGAGGCCGAAAGGCGUAGUCGAUGGGAAAAUGGUUAAUAUUCCAUUACUUCUGUGUAAUGCGAUGAGAGGACGGAGAAGGCUAAAUCAGCCUGGCGUUGGUUGUCCAGGUGAAAGGAUGUAGGCAUGUAUCUUAGGCAAAUCCGGGGUACUCUAUGCUGAGAUCUGAUAGCAAGCUGUACUUGUACAGCGAAGUGGUUGAUGCCAUGCUUCCAGGAAAAGUCUCUAAGCUUCAGUUACACAGGAAUCGUACCCGAAACCGACACAGGUGGUCAGGUCGAGUAGACCAAGGCGCUUGAGAGAACUCUGCUGAAGGAACUAGGCAAAAUGGUACCGUAACUUCGGGAGAAGGUACGCUGUUGUUGGUGAUGGAACUCGCUUCCUGAGCUGACGACAGCCGCAGAAACCAGGCCGCUGCAACUGUUUAUUAAAAACAUAGCACUCUGCAAACACGAAAGUGGACGUAUAGGGUGUGAUGCCUGCCCGGUGCUGGAAGGUUAAUUGAUGGGGUUAGCGUAAGCGAAGCUCUUGAUCGAAGCCCCAGUAAACGGCGGCCGUAACUAUAACGGUCCUAAGGUAGCGAAAUUCCUUGUCGGGUAAGUUCCGACCUGCACGAAUGGCAUAAUGAUGGCGGCGCUGUCUCCAGCAGAGGCUCAGUGAAAUCGAAAUCGCUGUGAAGAUGCAGUGUACCCGCGGCUAGACGGAAAGACCCCGUGAACCUUUACUGCAGCUUGACACUGAACUUUGACCUUACUUGUGUAGGAUAGGUGGGAGGCUUUGAAGCUGGAACGCUAGUUCCAGUGGAGCCGUCCUUGAAAUACCACCCUGGUAAUGUUGAGGUUCUAACUCUGUCCCGUGAUCCGGGACGAGGACCGUGUCUGGUGGGUAGUUUGACUGGGGCGGUCUCCUCCUAAAGAGUAACGGAGGAGUACGAAGGUGCGCUCAGCGUGGUCGGAAAUCACGCGUAGAGUAUAAAGGCAAAAGCGCGCUUAACUGCGAGACCCACAAGUCGAGCAGGUACGAAAGUAGGUCUUAGUGAUCCGGUGGUUCUGUAUGGAAGGGCCAUCGCUCAACGGAUAAAAGGUACUCUGGGGAUAACAGGCUGAUACCGCCCAAGAGUUCAUAUCGACGGCGGUGUUUGGCACCUCGAUGUCGGCUCAUCUCAUCCUGGGGCUGAAGCAGGUCCCAAGGGUAUGGCUGUUCGCCAUUUAAAGAGGUACGCGAGCUGGGUUUAGAACGUCGUGAGACAGUUCGGUCCCUAUCUACCGUGGGCGCUGGAAAUUUGAGAGGAUCUGCUCCUAGUACGAGAGGACCAGAGUGGACGAACCUCUGGUGUACCGGUUGUGACGCCAGUCGCAUCGCCGGGUAGCUAUGUUCGGAAGGGAUAACCGCUGAAAGCAUCUAAGCGGGAAGCCUACCUCAAGAUAAGAUUUCCCUAGGACUUUAUGUCCUCUAAAGAGCCGUUCGAGACUAGGACGUUGAUAGGUUGGAUGUGGAAGCAUAGUGAUAUGUGAAGCUGACCAAUACUAAUUGCUCGUGAGGCUUGACUAU
This 2231-nucleotide ribosomal RNA is filed under the name Acinetobacter baumannii ZWS1219. Its description in RNAcentral is "bacterial LSU rRNA". It matches the Rfam family "Bacterial large subunit ribosomal RNA", at positions 714 to 2925 of the family's 2925-position model. The record is from RNAcentral. Lineage: Bacteria; Pseudomonadati; Pseudomonadota; Gammaproteobacteria; Moraxellales; Moraxellaceae.